This is a non-coding RNA of Lactuca sativa (garden lettuce), 771 nucleotides long. The record is from RefSeq and is a predicted model, not a curated record. NCBI's taxonomy places the organism in Eukaryota, Viridiplantae, Streptophyta, Magnoliopsida, Asterales, Asteraceae.
UAGCAGCUGAAUACGAAAAAGAAAUAUCUCCAGACUGGUGGGGUAACAAAUUUGGAUUUGUGUCUGGAGGAUUACUUGGAGCACAAUCCAAGAGAAAGAAGUCUAACAGCACAUCGGAAAUCACUCAAAAUAGUAACAAAAGGACUGCAUUUUAUGAAGAGGAUCAAGAGAAUCUUUACAAACUUGUACAAGAUAAAGCAACUUCUGGAAAACAGGGACUUGGUAUAAAGGAUCGCCCAAGGAAAAUAGCAGGGGUUCGCUUUCAAGGGACAAAAACGUCUUUUAGCGACAGUGAGAGGGAGGAGUCUGAGUCGGAAGAUGAUCAUUCUUUAAAAAAACAAAAAAUUGAUGAUGUGUCGGAAUCAAAAGUGAAGCUAAAGAAACUCUGUAGAAAGCUUCUUAGCCAAGUACCUGAGAAAUCAUUGAAGCUUAAAAAACUCAAAGCUCUAAUCGAUGAAAACUCUUCAAUUUUUUCCAAUUUCUCUUCAAAGAAGGAUUCUCUUGAAUUUUUGAGACAGAAGCUUGAACGCAGUGAAAAGUUUAUUGUGGAAGGGAAGAGAGUUAGUCUCUCAUCAAAAUGAGAACAAAUAUUUUUGGAGAAUUUCAAAGUGUAGAGUUUGCUAAGGCUUGUAAUCCUAUCGAGUUACACAAUUGGAUUUGUUAGCAGGUAAUUAAUAUUAUUAUUCUUAAGAGAAUAUAGAUUUGAAAAUUUUGAACACAUCCAUUUAGGGAAUUUUAAUGUGUCUUAUUUUAUUAUUAACAGUUGUACCC